This 353-nucleotide unclassified non-coding RNA is filed under the name soil metagenome. Its description in RNAcentral is "partial contains 5.8S ribosomal RNA, internal transcribed spacer 2, and large subunit ribosomal RNA". The stretch from base 1 to 120 matches the Rfam family "5.8S ribosomal RNA", at positions 35 to 154 of the family's 154-position model. The record is from RNAcentral.
GAUGAAGAACGCAGUGAAAUGCGAUAAGUAGUGUGAAUUGCAGAAUUCAGUGAAUCAUCGAAUCUUUGAACGCACAUUGCGCCCUUUGGUAUUCCAAAGGGCAUGCCUGUUCGAGCGUCAUUACAACCCUCAGGCCCCCGGGCCUGGCGUUGGGGAUCGGCGGAAGCCCCCUGCGGGCACAACGCCGUCCCCCAAAUACAGUGGCGGUCCCGCCGCAGCUUCCAUUGCGUAGUAGCUAACACCUCGCAACUGGAGAGCGGCGCGGCCACGCCGUAAAACACCCAACUUCUGAAUGUUGACCUCGAAUCAGGUAGGAAUACCCGCUGAACUUAAGCAUAUCAAUAAGCGGAGGA